GUCGCGUGCGCAGUUUCCGUAGCAAUACGGAAAUGGGCGCACGGCGCACGGGUGCGUAACACGUGGGCAAUCUGCCCUCCGAUGGGGAAUACCCCCGCGAAAGCGGGACUAAUUCCGCAUAACAUUCCUUGGAUCAACUUUCGAGGAUUCAAAGCAGCAAUGCGUCGGAGGAGGAGCCCGCGCCCGAUUAGCUAGUUGGUGAGGUAACGGCUCACCAAGGCAAUGAUCGGUAGCUGGUCUGAGAGGAUGGCCAGCCACACUGGAACUGAGACACGGUCCAGACUCCUACGGGAGGCAGCAGUGGGGAAUCUUGCACAAUGGGCGAAAGCCUGAUGCAGCGACGCCGCGUGGGGGAUGAAGCUUUUCGGAGUGUAAACCCCUUUCGACUGGGACGAAUGCCUCGCAAGAGGAGUGACGGUACCAGUAUAAGAAGCCCCGGCUAACUACGUGCCAGCAGCCGCGGUAAGACGUAGGGGGCCAGCGUUGUUCGGAAUUACUGGGUGUAAAGGGUUCGUAGGCGGUGUGGCAAGUCGGGAGUGAAAUCUCUGGGCUCAACCCAGAGACUGCUUCCGAAACUGCUGUGCUUGAGUGUGAGAGAGGCUCGUGGAAUUGCAGGUGUAGCGGUGAAAUGCGUAGAUAUCUGCAGGAACACCCGUGGCGAAAGCGGCGAGCUGGAUCACUACUGACGCUGAGGAACGA
Molecule: ribosomal RNA, 699 nt
Filed under: uncultured bacterium
Lineage: Bacteria
Description: bacterial SSU rRNA
Rfam family: Bacterial small subunit ribosomal RNA
Source: RNAcentral